AAAAAGCCUAAAGUAUAAAGGUAGCCAUGCCAACACUAACAAGUUCUAGAGGACAGCCAUUCAGCCCACUCUAGCAGGUUAAGGAUGUUUCUAAUUGUUUAGUAUAAACUUUAUUUAGUUAAAUCAUCAAAACUUCUGUCUUGUAUCAAUAUUUUGUUUCGCUGUGCACUCAUUCAACUCUUAAAUUGAAAUUUGCAGCAAUACUUCAAGGUGGUAAUUUCCUUGGUUCAGUCCAAGAGGAAAUUGGUAAGUUCUCACAAAUUAAUAAAAUGUAUGUCUUUGUAUAUUUUUAAUUUUAUUGCUAGAUGUUCUUGUAAAUUUCAUUGUGUUGGAUCUAUACAUGAGAGGGAGAAGAGAGGUUUGUGCAAGAGGAAAAAUGUUACUUUUGACUUUCCCUGUGUGGUUCAGCUGACUCUCAGGUGCGUUUCACAUAGUUAAUAAAAUUGUUUAGUAGUUGGUGCCUUAUGGCCGUGUUCUUAGUUAUUUAGUUGGUUUGCUUGCUAUGCUUGUUUUCGUUUAUGCUAUACUACCAGUAAGCAUCUCGAAUUGCUGAUUGAUGUUGUCUCAACUUUGGACAAGCAGCUCCCUUGAAAGGUCAGCUUGAUAACCCAGUUUAUAGUGCAAUAACCUGGUUUCAGAGAUGUCAUUCUGUUAUUCCUAGUUCAUUUAAUGUGUUCAAGGCACAAUGAUAUGAUAGUCUUCAUGGCACAAGUGUGACGUCUUAGGGUAAGCAAAAUUAUUUUGAUGAUCUUAGGGGUAGGGAUUUGGGACGAAAUUUGGAAAAACUUUUGAUUUAGGGUUCGGAUUUUGGGAUUUUGGGGAAGAACAGGAUCUUUGAGAUCAAGACUGAUUUGACUUCCCUUCCUAUACAUCUACAUGUAGGUUAUUUUGCUUUCCUGUUCUAUUUAGAGAGUAUAUGUUUUAUCAUAUGCUAAGGUAAAUCUUUAUUAUAUAUGAUGCGCUUGUGUUGGCAUGCUUAGAUCGUAUCCAUAAUUUAGAGAGCAUAUGUUAGUCAUAGCAACGUACAUAUGAUUCCAUUCUCAUUUGUCUACAGGGAGGAAAUUGUGAGGCCAAAUGCAAUUAGUUUUUCUGCGCGACUACAGCAACCACUGAAUUCCGUAGGGUGAGUGAAGCUUCCUUUCUUCAAUUACCUUUUGCCAUAAGGACUACUCUAAACUUUGGUGUCUAUAUGAUGCAAUGUCCUGUUCUAUUUUCCAAUACUAGUGUUUUUUUGUUGUCUAAAAAUAUAUCUUUGCUUAACAGGUAUCUUUUGAUCUUUAAAAUUGAUACUGCAAUUUCUGAUACAGUGUGGGAUGGAGCAUUAUGGUUCUGAAUCCCAUCUGUAGUUGCUAAUGAUAAAACCUAUACUCUUGUGCUAUUCAUAUGAGAAUGUUUAUCCCUACUCUAGUUCUACAGAGAAUUUGGCUAUGAUUGCAUAACUGUUUUUGUGUUCUGGAUACAACCAUUACGUUAUUGUAGUUUGCUCCCAUUGCAGUUAAAAACCAACAGUUUAGCUGCUCAUCCAUGUCAACAAGCACGAAGGUAAUUUAUGACUUAGUUUAAGACUAGAUCUAAUUCGUGACUGAAUUUUAGAUGCAGUACCUGGUUAUUGGCAGGUGGAGAUUGCACAUGCCUAUGAGAAGAAUAGCGUGGCCUGCUUCAGCAUCUGAUCGAUGAGAAGCACUUCCAGCGGACCUUUGAGAUGAGAACUAGUAUUGUAAAAGUGCUCAUGGUGGCUAUUUUUGAACAAUUUUGUUAUGCAAGCAAAUCAUAUGAGUUGUAUUAUGCAAGCUACCCUCUUAGUUUUGUAGCUACUUGUGUGUAGCUUGCUUAUUGCCUUUGUAUUUUCUA
Molecule: long non-coding RNA, 1851 nt
Filed under: Sorghum bicolor (sorghum)
Lineage: Eukaryota; Viridiplantae; Streptophyta; Magnoliopsida; Poales; Poaceae
Description: long non-coding RNA (SBIC_LNC010328)
Source: RNAcentral